UACGUAGGCAGCGAGCGUUGUUCGGAUUUACUGGGCGUAAAGAGUGUGUAGGCGGUGCUGUAAGUUCGUUGUGAAAUCUCCCGGCUUAACUGGGAGGGUGCGGCGGAAACUGCAGUGCUUGAGGAUGGGAGAGGUAAGCGGAAUUCCUGGUGUAGCGGUGAAAUGCGUAGAUAUCAGGAGGAACACCUGUGGUGUAGACAGCUUACUGGACCAUAUCUGACGCUGAGACACGAAAGCGUGGGUAGCAAACAGG
This 253-nucleotide ribosomal RNA is filed under the name uncultured bacterium. RNAcentral describes it as "partial 16S ribosomal RNA". It matches the Rfam family "Bacterial small subunit ribosomal RNA", at positions 524 to 776 of the family's 1533-position model. The record is from RNAcentral.